Molecule: long non-coding RNA, 1133 nt
Filed under: Salmo salar (Atlantic salmon)
Lineage: Eukaryota; Metazoa; Chordata; Actinopteri; Salmoniformes; Salmonidae
Description: lncRNA (ENSSSAG00000100725.1)
Source: RNAcentral
ACCUGGUCUUCUAGCCUGACCAAUACAGACCUGGUCUUCUAGCCUGGUGCCAGGAUGGUUCUAGUCUCCUGCCAACUCCUUAUGGAAUUGUCAUGUCAUGUUUGGCUUGACAAUGAACAAUGGAGUUAGCAAGAGCAGAAACAGAUCUGGAACCAGGCUACUAAAACAGAUCUGGGACCGGGCUACUAAAACAGAUCUGGGACCGGGCCACUAAAACAGAUCUGGGACCGGGCCACUAAAACAGAUCUGGGACCGGGCCACUAAAACAGAUCUGGGACCGGGCCACUAAAACAGAUCUGGGGCCAGGCUACUAAAACAGAUCUGGGACCAGGCUACUAAAACAGAUCUGGGACCAGGCUACUAAAACAGAUCUGGGACCAGGCUACUAAAACAGAUCUGGGACCAGGCUACUAAAACAGAUAUGGGACCAGUCUACUAUCUGUGACCAGGCUACUAAAACAGAUCUGGGACCAGGCCACUAAAACAGAUAUGGGACCAGGCUACUAAAACAGAUCUGGGACCAGGCCACUAAAACAGAUCUGGGACCAGGCCACUAAAACAGAUCUGGGACCAGGCCACUAAAACAGAUCUGGGACCAGGCUACUAAAACAGAUCUGGGACCAGGCUACUAAAACAGAUCUGGGACCAGGCCACUAAAACAGAUCUGGGACCAGGCCACUAAAACAGAUCUGGGACCAGGCCACUAAAACAGUUCUUUGACCAGGCCACUAAAACAGAUCUGGGACCAGGCUACUUGUCUUCUGUAAGACCAAUACAAAAGGGACACUAAGAAUAGAAGUCCAUGCCGUUCUUCUCGCUCUCAUCCGAGGAGGGGUUCUGGUGCUGGUCCGAGUCGGACUCGAACAUAGGGCUGUGGUGGAGGCUGGGCCGGCUGCCGCUCUGGGGAGACGAGACGCAGGGAGGAGGGCCAGAGCUGUCGUGGUGCGGACGGGGGUAGAACACCUCAUCCUGGGGGUGGGAGAGCCAGCUGAGGGAGGGUCCAUCACUCAGACCCUGCCAUGGUGCACUCUGGCUGGGCUGAGGGAGGGGAGAGAUGGGCUGGAGUCCUGGAGGGUCUCCCUAAUUCUUUGGUUCUCUCUGGUCGCUGCCUCCCACACCACCUCCAACUCACC